This 29-nucleotide non-coding RNA is filed under the name Homo sapiens (human). The record is from RNAcentral. Lineage: Eukaryota; Metazoa; Chordata; Mammalia; Primates; Hominidae.
UAAAGCGGCUCUGGAGUCAAAAUAAUGGG